Molecule: ribosomal RNA, 464 nt
Filed under: uncultured bacterium
Lineage: Bacteria
Description: bacterial SSU rRNA
Rfam family: Bacterial small subunit ribosomal RNA
Source: RNAcentral
UGGAUGAACGCUGGCGGCGUGCUUAACACAUGCAAGUCGAACGGUGAAAGAGAGCUUGCUCUCUGGAUCAGUGGCGAACGGGUGAGUAACACGUGAGCAACCUGCCCCAGACUCUGGGAUAACAGUUGGAAACAGCUGCUAAUACCGGAUACGAGACGGAGAGGCAUCUCUACCGUCUGGAAAGUUUUUCGGUCUGGGAUGGACUCGCGGCCUAUCAGCUAGUUGGUGAGGUAAUGGCUCACCAAGGCGACGACGGGUAGCCGGCCUGAGAGGGCGACCGGCCACACUGGGACUGAGACACGGCCCAGACUCCUACGGGAGGCAGCAGUGGGGAAUAUUGCACAAUGGGCGAAAGCCUGAUCCAGCGACGCCGCGUGGAGGACGAAGCCCUUCGGGGUGUAAACUCCUUUUCUCAGGGAAAAAGGAUGAUGGUACCUGAGGAAUAAGCCCCGGCUAACUACGUG